This 505-nucleotide long non-coding RNA is filed under the name Zea mays. Its description in RNAcentral is "long non-coding RNA (ZMAY_LNC005480)". The record is from RNAcentral. Lineage: Eukaryota; Viridiplantae; Streptophyta; Magnoliopsida; Poales; Poaceae.
AAUCCAAUACUUGAUCUUUUUAUUGGCUAAGUGCGAACCUUUUACACCUGUAUAAUCUAGUUAGUCCAAUUAUUUGUGUUGGGCAAUUCAACCACCAAAAUCAAUUAGGAAAAUAGGUGUAAGCCUAAUUCCCUUUCACUUCGUAGUUGCACUGCAUCAACAUGGCCCACUCCAAAUAAUUGGAGCGGGUGAGCAUUGGCCACAUGAGCGAGCUCUCCUGCACGUCGCAUGCCACAGUGCUUGACGACCUGUUGUCGCCCAUCUUCGUCACUAUCGGGUUUGUGUGUGGGAUUACACACUGAGAUUUGAUACUUGAUGUUGGCGCCACCUGCCAAAAUGCACAGCUCGACGACGAUCGACGAUACAUGAAUUGCGCCUACGAUGUCACACAAUCCUCUAACACACGCGAACACAGAAGAAUGGCGUUGCCUUGCGUUGUAGCCUUUUCGGUUUCGUUUGCUCCUCUUAUAUAUUGGUGUUUACACGGUCUGAGCCUCAUGACCCC